ACGUGUGCCGGAGGUUGAUUCUUGCAUGGUUUGUUGGACAUGUCAAGUUCAGCUUAUCGAGGCAUCGCAUGUAAAGACAACCUGUGGGAGCGAUUUAUUGAAAAAGUUUCGCUAUUUUGUUUUUUCUGAUUUUCAGGUAUAGAUUUCUGCUGGUUUGUUGUUUUGCUUUCCUUGAUGCUUUUACUGACUGUGCAUUUGUUUCUUUUAGGGCGUGAAGGUUACUGCACUUGCAAUUGAUGGUAACGUCGAUUGUGUUAGCCAGUUACUUGUGUCAUUUAGAAAGUACCAUAUAUCCAAGGCUCAUGUUUAUAAGAUCCCUGAUUGUGUGGCUGUUGGAUCUUAUCCCUAUUAUUGGGUUUUGACUGACCAAACUAUGAUUGAUGAAGUAUUUGAAAUAGAGGCUUCAAAACUUCCAUGUUAUUUUGCGUUGGACUCUAUUUCUUCGUGUCACACUGUUGCUGAUACAGAAAAGUUCAUAAGUAAUGCAUUGUGGAUUAAACUAUUUUCUUUGUGAUGGGUACGACUAUAUCUGUAUGUUGUGGUUUUCACCGGUCUUUUUUUGGACCUUGGCAGAUAUCAUGGGAAUUGUUCUCUGUGUCUUUCCUGCCAGGGAGGUUUAUUUUGAAGGGGGACCAUCUGUUGCG
Molecule: long non-coding RNA, 644 nt
Filed under: Coffea arabica (coffee)
Lineage: Eukaryota; Viridiplantae; Streptophyta; Magnoliopsida; Gentianales; Rubiaceae
Description: long non-coding RNA (CARA_LNC007818)
Source: RNAcentral